Molecule: ribosomal RNA, 549 nt
Filed under: uncultured bacterium
Lineage: Bacteria
Description: partial 16S ribosomal RNA
Rfam family: Bacterial small subunit ribosomal RNA
Source: RNAcentral
UGGGGAAUAUUGCACAAUGGGCGCAAGCCUGAUGCAGCGACGCCGCGUGAGGGAUGACGGCCUUCGGGUUGUAAACCUCUUUCAGCAGGGACGAAGCGCAAGUGACGGUACCUGCAGAAGAAGGACCGGCCAACUACGUGCCAGCAGCCGCGGUAAUACGUAGGGUCCGAGCGUUGUCCGGAAUUACUGGGCGUAAAGAGCUCGUAGGUGGUUUGUCGCGUUGUUCGUGAAAACUCACAGCUUAACUGUGGGCGUGCGGGCGAUACGGGCAGACUAGAGUACUGCAGGGGAGACUGGAAUUCCUGGUGUAGCGGUGGAAUGCGCAGAUAUCAGGAGGAACACCGGUGGCGAAGGCGGGUCUCUGGGCAGUAACUGACGCUGAGGAGCGAAAGCGUGGGGAGCGAACAGGAUUAGAUACCCUGGUAGUCCACGCCGUAAACGGUGGGUACUAGGUGUGGGUUUCCUUCCUUGGGAUCCGUGCCGUAGCUAACGCAUUAAGUACCCCGCCUGGGGAGUACGGCCGCAAGGCUAAAACUCAAAGGAAUUGAC